GAAGUUUUACGCAAUCCAUAAAGCUUGAUUAACAGAUCUGUAGAAGGAAGCUGGUUUGGGGCUUGGGGACUGGAAAAAAUGCUGUGGGAUUUAAUCAUCUUUAAGAAAAUACGCUCUGUACUUGGAGGAGAUAUUAGAUUUAUGCUCUGUGGUGGAGCUCCUUUAUCUGCGGAUUCUCAACGCUUCAUCAAUAUCUGCAUGGGGGCUCCUAUUGGCCAAGGAUAUGGCUUGAUAGAAACUUUUGCUGGAGCUGCUUUUUCUGAGGCAGAUGACACAGCAGUGGGCCGUGUAGGGCCACCCCUUCCUUGUUGCUACAUUAAGUUCACUUGAAGAUGGAGCUGCAAAAUCUGAAACAGAGGAAAGCCAGUCACAAACAGUUCCUCACGAUGCCGAGGCUAUUCCAGUUGCUAAGCCAGUGAGCAUAAGUGCAACUAUUUCCACUGUCUUGGCAAGUGCUGGGAAUACUUUGGAGGGGUCUGUGGCAGAACUUGUGUUGAGUCCUCUUCGACUUGCAUUUGAGACAAAGAACUUGAAAAUCUUAGAAUCUGCUUUGGAUUGUCUUCAUUAUGAAGUGAACGGCAAAGUGGCUGAUUCAAUGCUUGUUAAUACCAUAUUGAUGCUGGUGUAUGUUACUAAGUUUUUUUUGGUGGGAAGCUGGAUACUGGAGCACAAUGGAUAUUGCACAUGAUUGAGCUGGUUUUUAUAUUUGCUGGGGAUGCCUUGUAUGGGUGCCUUCUAUAUAUACUUCUCCUGGCAUGUACCUGGUCAAUCAUCCCGUACACCUUGGAACUCAGUUGGCACUCUACAUCCUAGUAGCAGGCAUUCUUUGCAUAUACAUCAACUACGACUGUGAUAGGCAAAGGCAAGAGUUUCGCAGAACAAAUGGCAAAGCUUUGGUUUGGGGUAAAGCUCCAUCAAAGAUAACUGCCACUUACACUACCACAACUGGGGAAACAAAAAGCAGCAUUCUUUUAACUUCGGGAUGGUAUGGAAAAUACUGGAAAUCGUACUGCGAGAAGGUUCGGUACAGGGUCAUCCCCGGAAUUUACUGAGAAAAUGUUGCACAAGUGUUUGUUCUAUGUUGAGAAUGGCAUGUAUAUUCAGCCUUUCCAAAUUAAAUGAUGGCAGGCUGGUAUCAUGUUGUUGUUAUUGUUGUUUUUGUAAUGGUCAACUUUAUGGAUGUUGUAUUUCUCUCAUCUUCAAUGACCAAAAACUUUUCUUGUUUAGGAAAA
Humulus lupulus (European hop) is the source of this 1232-nucleotide RNA transcript. It is a transcript of the gene named 7-dehydrocholesterol reductase-like, with no coding region annotated. The transcript is spliced from 9 exons. NCBI's taxonomy places the organism in Eukaryota, Viridiplantae, Streptophyta, Magnoliopsida, Rosales, Cannabaceae. The record is from RefSeq and is a predicted model, not a curated record.